AUAGCGGCGGACGGGUGAGUAACGCGUAGGCAACCUACCCUUCACAGAGGGAUAGCCACUGGAAACGGUGAUUAAUACCUCAUAACGCAAGUCAAUCACAUGGUUGGUUUGCCAAAGAUUUAUCGGUGAGGGAUGGGCCUGCGUCUGAUUAGUUAGUUGGUGGGGUAACGGCCUACCAAGGCAACGAUCAGUAGCCGACCUGAGAGGGUAAUCGGCCACAUUGGAACUGAGACACGGUCCAAACUCCUACGGGAGGCAGCAG
This 262-nucleotide ribosomal RNA is filed under the name uncultured bacterium. RNAcentral's name for it is "partial 16S ribosomal RNA". It matches the Rfam family "Bacterial small subunit ribosomal RNA", at positions 92 to 354 of the family's 1533-position model. The record is from RNAcentral.